CUCCUUAACACACCAUCUGAAAUGAGAUUCUGUCAUGAAAAAGUGCUGAAUAGCAAAGCAGAUUUCAAGACUUUCUCAGUUCUAUUCUGCACCAAUACUGGCAUCCAUUUAAGCCUGGAUAAUACAUCUGCAUAUUCUUCCAUUCCUGUAAAAGGUCAGAACUGCAAGGUUUCAUUUCUUUCUUUCCAACAGAAAGGUCAUGUAAAAAGAUGACCACAGGUCAUGGCAUAGCAUGGUUGCAGAAUACAUAGGGUCAAGGACAGUAUACCGGCAUUGCACAUAAAAAUAUUCUUUUCACCCUUGGAUAUAAAACGUAAGAAGGCAAAAAUAACAUAUGAGAGAAGAUAAGAAUUGUCAUGCUGGGAUGAGUCAGUCCACCCAUUACAGCACUAGCAUACAACCAAGAAUAUCUGUUCUCGUGUGUUUUACAGGAACAUGGAAAAAUACUGUGUUUAAAGAAAUGUCAUGAGGAAGGAAAUACACUCUGAAGGGUCCCCUUUGGAUAACACCGUUACACACAGCAUAAGGAAGCUGACACAGGUGCCAAUCUCAUGGAAUCCUCUGGAUCAGGGGUAUUACUGAUACAUAAAACUUCAGAACAGGCACGUACUUUCAGUCAGUGUUUCUAAAAAUUUUGACUACAAAAUGUUAAUUGAUUUUACCAGAAACA
Motacilla alba alba is the source of this 670-nucleotide long non-coding RNA. RefSeq lists it as uncharacterized. The record is from RefSeq and is a predicted model, not a curated record. The transcript is spliced from 5 exons. Lineage: Eukaryota; Metazoa; Chordata; Aves; Passeriformes; Motacillidae.